Molecule: ribosomal RNA, 450 nt
Filed under: uncultured bacterium
Lineage: Bacteria
Description: partial 16S ribosomal RNA
Rfam family: Bacterial small subunit ribosomal RNA
Source: RNAcentral
GUGGGGAAUCUUCCGCAAUGGACGAAAGUCUGACGGAGCAACGCCGCGUGAGUGAAGAAGGUUUUCGGAUCGUAAAGCUCUUUCGUUAGGGACGUACGUGCUCUUUGUGAAUAAUGAGGAGUAAUGACGGUACCUAAAUAAGAAGCCACGGCUAACUACGUGCCAGCAGCCGCGGUAAUACGUAGGUGGCAAGCGUUGUCCGGAAUUAUUGGGCGUAAAGCGCGCGCAGGCGGGAUAUCAAGUCUGUCUUAAAAGUGCGAGGCUCAACCUCGUGAGGGGACAGAAACUGGUAUUCUUGAGUGUCGGAGAGGAAAGUGGAAUUCCAAGUGUAGCGGUGAAAUGCGUAGAGAUUUGGAAGAACACCAGUGGCGAAGGCGACUUUCUGGACGAUGUCUGACGCUGAGGCGCGAAAGCUAGGGGAGCGAACGGGAUUAGAUACCCGAGUAGUCC